Molecule: ribosomal RNA, 514 nt
Filed under: uncultured bacterium
Lineage: Bacteria
Description: partial 16S ribosomal RNA
Rfam family: Bacterial small subunit ribosomal RNA
Source: RNAcentral
UGGGGAAUAUUGCACAAUGGGCGCAAGCCUGAUGCAGCCAUGCCGCGUGUGUGAAGAAGGCCUUCGGGUUGUAAAGCAACUUUCAGCGAGGAGGAAGGUGGUGAGCUUAAUACGCUCAUCAAUUGACGUUACUCGCAGAAGAAGCACCGGCUAACUCCGUGCCAGCAGCCGCGGUAAUACGGAGGGUGCAAGCGUUAAUCGGAAUUACUGGGCGUAAAGCGCACGCAGGCGGUUUGUUAAGUCAGAUGUGAAAUCCCCGGGCUCAACCUGGGAACUGCAUUUGAAACUGGCAAGCUAGAGUCUCGUAGAGGGGGGUAGAAUUCCAGGUGUAGCGGUGAAAUGCGUAGAGAUCUGGAGGAAUACCGGUGGCGAAGGCGGCCCCCCUGGACGAAGACUGACGCUCAGGUGCGAAAGCGUGGGGCAGCAAACAGGAUUAGAUACCCUGGUAGUCCACGCUGUAAACGAUGUCGAUUUGGAGGUUGUGCCCCUUGAGGCGUGGNUUCCGGAGCUAACG